AUGCGACCACACUGUGCAGGAUAUGCAGGGAGGUCGGCCCUUGUCCAGGGGAAGAUCAGCACCAUGAUGGUGAAAGACAACCUCUUGGCGGCUGGUGGUUUCCAUGGGGAGCUGAUCUGCAAUGUAAGGAGGCCGGAGUAUGCCACCGUUGAUCCAUAUCCAGAUCAGUUGCGUCGCCGGUUCCGCCGUCUCCAACCGCACUCCCCCGUUUGCGCCAUCGAGCCGGGCCUGCUCACCUCCUUCUUGAUGGUCGCGCAUCGGGAGAGCCCUCUGCCGGCAGCGACGCAGCCGUGUCUGGUGCCGUACAAGGGACGCCGGCGCAGGAUGCUAUCGUCAUCCGUUCCUAACGCCGCUGAGUUGAGUAGUAUGAGUCAAUUGGCCAGCCUGGAGCAGCUUGGUGUUUUACAUUAUGGUGUUAACUGUGAAAAUGCCAAGUGGAUGAUGUACAUCUGGUGGUCGUCAAGUCAAGGAACCUUCUCUUCUUGCUGCGACAGUCCUCCUCCCGCUGCUUUGCUCUGCUCAACAGCUAGCGUGCAUGGCUAA
This 543-nucleotide ribosomal RNA is filed under the name Triticum aestivum (bread wheat). RNAcentral's name for it is "partial small subunit ribosomal RNA". The record is from RNAcentral. Lineage: Eukaryota; Viridiplantae; Streptophyta; Magnoliopsida; Poales; Poaceae.